AUACCGGGCCUUUUUGGGCUUGGUAAUUGGAAUGAGGGAGAGUUAAACGGACCAUCGAAUAUCCAUUGGAGGGCAAGUCUGGUGCCAGCAGCUGCGGUAAUACCAGCUCCAAUAGCGUAUAUUAAAGUUGUGGCAGUUAAAAAGCUCGUAGUUGGACUUGUGUGCGCUGUCCGCGGGUGGCCUGCGCCCAAAAGGGCGUUUCGGUUCGGCCCCGGUGGCGCCUUGAAAUCUGCAGCUGGGGGGACGUUGGCCUUAACUGGUCGGCGACCGCACGCCGGCUGCUCGGUUACUGUGAGAAAAUUAGAGUGUUCAAGGCAGGCAUUGGGUGCAAUUGAAUACAUCAGCAUGGAAUAAUAAAAUAUGGCUCCUGCCGUAUUUUGUUGGUUUUGACUGGUGGGAGUAAUGAUUGAUAGGGACGGUUGGGGGUGCUAGUAUUGAGCGGCCAGAGGUGAAAUUCAUGGAUUCGCUCAAGACUAACUUAUGCGAAAGCAUUCACCAAGGACGUCCUCUUUAAUCAAGAACGAAAGUUGGGGGAUCGAAGACGAUCAGAUACCGUCGUAGUCUCAACCAUAAACUAUGUCGACUUGGGAUCGGCGGUAGUUUUUUCAUUAAGACACUGUCGGGACCACGGGAGAAAUCAAAGUGUCUGGACUCUGGGGGAAGUAUGGUCGCAAGGCUGAAACUUGAAGGAAUUGACGGAAGGGCACCACCAGGAGUGGAGCCUGCGGCUUAAUUUGACUCAACACGGGGAAACUUACCUGGUCCAGAGAUGUAGAGGAUUGACAGAUUGAAGCUCUUUCUUGAUCACUUCGGUGGUGGUGCAUGGCCGUUCUUAGUUGGUGGAGUGAUUUGUCUGGUUAAUACCGUUAACGAACGAGACCUCAGCCUGCUAGUGUAGUCGGCUGGAUUGCCUUUGGCGAUCCGUGAUUUCGACUUCUUAGAGGGACAAUCGACGCGCAGUCGAUGGAAGUUUGAGGCAAUAACAGGUCUGUGAUGCCCUUAGAUGUUCUGGGCCGCACGCGCGCUACACUGCUGGGCUCAGCGAGUUUUACUUGGCCGAGAGGCCCGGUUAAUCUUGUGAAAUCCCAGCGUGCUUGGGCUCGCCUCCUGCAACUGGAGGCGCCAACGAGGAAUUCCUAGUAGACGCAGGUCAUCAACCUGCAUCGAUUACGUCCCUGCCCUUUGUACACACCGCCCGUCGUUCCAUAAGAGUGAGGCAUCCGGUGAAUUCUCGGGAGAGCCUGGGCGUGGCCAGCAAUGGUCUGCUCGGGUUUGAACUUGCAUAAACUUGG
Molecule: ribosomal RNA, 1292 nt
Filed under: metagenome
Description: SSU rRNA
Rfam family: Eukaryotic small subunit ribosomal RNA
Source: RNAcentral